UACAGGGGGGGCAAGCGUUGUUCGGAAUUACUGGGCGUAAAGGGUUCGUAGGUGGCCACUUAAGUCAGACGUGAAAUCCCUCAGCUUAACUGGGGAACUGCGUCUGAUACUGAGUGGCUUGAGUGCAGGAGAGGAAUGCGGAAUUCCAGGUGUAGCGGUGAAAUGCGUAGAUAUCUGGAGGAACACCGGUGGCGAAGGCGGCAUUCUGGACUGUAACUGACACUGAUGAACGAAAGCCAGGGGAGCAAACGGG
This 253-nucleotide ribosomal RNA is filed under the name uncultured bacterium. RNAcentral describes it as "partial 16S ribosomal RNA". It matches the Rfam family "Bacterial small subunit ribosomal RNA", at positions 524 to 776 of the family's 1533-position model. The record is from RNAcentral.